AUUGAACGCUGGCGGCAGGCUUAACACAUGCAAGUCGAGCGAGCGGCGGACGGGUGAGUAAUGUCUGGGAAACUGCCCGAUGGCGGGGGAUAACUACUGGAAACGGUAGCUAAUACCGCAUACCAUCAGAUGUGCCCAUAUGGGAUUAGCUAGUAGGUGGGGUAAUGGCUCACCUAGGCGACGAUCCCUAGCUGGUCUGAGAGGAUGACCAGCCACACUGGAACUGAGACACGGGCCAGACGCCUACGGGAGGCAGCAGUGGGGAAUAUUGCACAAUGGGCGCAAGCCUGAUGCAGCCAUGCCGAGUGUAUGAAGAGGGCCUUCGGGUUGUAAAGCACUUUCAGCGAGGAGGCGUUACUCGAAGAAGAAGCACCGGCUAACUCCGUGCCAGCAGCCGCGGUAAUAC
RNAcentral lists this ribosomal RNA (406 nucleotides) under uncultured bacterium. RNAcentral's name for it is "partial 16S ribosomal RNA". It matches the Rfam family "Bacterial small subunit ribosomal RNA", at positions 30 to 526 of the family's 1533-position model. The record is from RNAcentral.